GACGAGCGCUGGCGGCGUGCUUAACACAUGCAAGUCGAACGGAAAGGCCCUGCUUUUGUGGGGUGCUCGAGUGGCGAACGGGUGAGUAACACGUGAGUAACCUGCCCUUGACUUUGGGAUAACUUCAGGAAACUGGGGCUAAUACCGGAUAGGAGCUCCUGCUGCAUGGUGGGGGUUGGAAAGUUUCGGCGGUUGGGGAUGGACUCGCGGCUUAUCAGCUUGUUGGUGGGGUAGUGGCUUACCAAGGCUUUGACGGGUAGCCGGCCUGAGAGGGUGACCGGCCACAUUGGGACUGAGAUACGGCCCAGACUCCUACGGGAGGCAGCAGUGGGGAAUAUUGCACAAUGGGCGGAAGCCUGAUGCAGCAACGCCGCGUGCGGGAUGACGGCCUUCGGGUUGUAAACCGCUUUCGCCUGUGACGAAGCGUGAGUGACGGGAAUGGGUAAAGAAGCACCGGCUAACUACGU
RNAcentral lists this ribosomal RNA (467 nucleotides) under uncultured bacterium. RNAcentral describes it as "partial 16S ribosomal RNA". It matches the Rfam family "Bacterial small subunit ribosomal RNA", at positions 28 to 506 of the family's 1533-position model. The record is from RNAcentral.